Molecule: ribosomal RNA, 504 nt
Filed under: uncultured bacterium
Lineage: Bacteria
Description: partial 16S ribosomal RNA
Rfam family: Bacterial small subunit ribosomal RNA
Source: RNAcentral
AUUGAACGCCGGCGGCAUGCCUUACACAUGCAAGUCGAACGGCAGCAUGGAGAGCUUGCUCUCUGAUGGCGAGUGGCGAACGGGUGAGUAAAGCAUCGGAACGUACCGUGUAGUGGGGGAUAACGUAGCGAAGGUUACGCUAAUACCGCAUACGCACUGAGGUGGAAAGCAGGGGAUCGUAAGACCUUGCGCUAUACGAGCGGCCGAUGUCAGAUUAGCUAGUUGGUAGGGUAAAGGCCUACCAAGGCGACGAUCUGUAGCGGGUCUGAGAGGAUGAUCCGCCACACUGGGACUGAGACACGGCCCAGACUCCUACGGGAGGCAGCAGUGGGGAAUUUUGGACAAUGGGGGCAACCCUGAUCCAGCCAUGCCGCGUGAGUGAAGAAGGCCUUCGGGUUGUAAAGCUCUUUCGGCCGGGAAGAAAUCGCACAGGCUAAUACCCUGUGUGGAUGACGGUACCGGCAUAAGAAGCACCGGCUAACUACGUGCCAGCCGCCGCAGUAA